RNAcentral lists this ribosomal RNA (253 nucleotides) under uncultured bacterium. Its description in RNAcentral is "partial 16S ribosomal RNA". It matches the Rfam family "Bacterial small subunit ribosomal RNA", at positions 524 to 776 of the family's 1533-position model. The record is from RNAcentral.
UACAGAGGUGGCAAGCGUUGUUCGGAAUUACUGGGCGUAAAGGGCGCGUAGGUGGCCUUCUUAGUCAGACGUGAAAUCCCCAGGCUUAACCUGGGAACUGCGUCUGAUACUGGAAGGCUUGAGUUCGGGAGAGGAAUGUGGAAUUCCAGGUGUAGCGGUGAAAUGCGUAGAUAUCUGGAGGAACAUCUGUGGCGAAGGCGGCCAUCUGGACCAGCACUGACACUGAGGCACGAAAGCGUGGGGAGCAAACAGG